Molecule: ribosomal RNA, 330 nt
Filed under: Triticum aestivum (bread wheat)
Lineage: Eukaryota; Viridiplantae; Streptophyta; Magnoliopsida; Poales; Poaceae
Description: partial small subunit ribosomal RNA
Source: RNAcentral
AUGGUUCGGGCCAAGCAGAGAAAGAUAGGUGAGAUAUGCUCAGAGGUGAUCAUCGACAAGUCCUCGGACAAGAUGACGAUGGAGAGUAUAGUGGAGGCACAUCACAUCAUGAAGAAGGUGCACGAGUACGUCAAGACGACGAACGUCGUGAUCCUCAGGCUAUGGUCCAUUAUUCUAGCCCGGCCACCAAAGGAAAUUCACCUGUGCGGCGGCGGCGGGGAAGGAGCAGCACCGGCAGCCCUGACAGAGGAAGCCAUGUUGCCGUUUUGUUUGUUCCCAGCCUUGACUAUGGUUGUCCAGCGAGUCCGGCAUGUCGUCAUUUUCUUGUAA